RNAcentral lists this unclassified non-coding RNA (295 nucleotides) under Hevea brasiliensis (rubber tree). Lineage: Eukaryota; Viridiplantae; Streptophyta; Magnoliopsida; Malpighiales; Euphorbiaceae. The record is from RNAcentral.
UGCAACUAAAGGGCAAAUAAUAUAUGCUACUUAGCUGAAAAUCUAUGUUUUGUUUGGUGGGUUCCCACAAAUGGCCUGCCAUUUUUAUCUGUAAAAUGCCUUAAUAUUUUGUAGCUGAAAAACAUCCAGGACCACUUCCAGUUCAGGACAAAGUAUCAUCAUCAUAGUUGAUGAGCAUAUUGGAUAUUUAGAAAACGAAUCAUAACAAAUUACGCAUAUCCACCUACGGCAAAACUUAUUACGUGUUUAUAUAAACUGGCCUGGCUCUUUGUUUUGGAUGUGUCUUGCUGUUGAC